RNAcentral lists this ribosomal RNA (247 nucleotides) under uncultured bacterium. RNAcentral's name for it is "partial 16S ribosomal RNA". It matches the Rfam family "Bacterial small subunit ribosomal RNA", at positions 268 to 527 of the family's 1533-position model. The record is from RNAcentral.
CCAAGGCGUCUACGGGUAGCCGGCCUGACAGGGUGACCGGCGACAUUGGGACUGGCAUACGGCCCAUACUCCUACGGGAGGCAGCUUUGGGGAAUAUUGCACAAUGGGGGAAAGCCUGAUGCCUUGACGCCGCGUGCGGGAUGACCGCCUUCGAGUUGUGAACCGCUUUCAUCCAUGAUUAACCCAAGGUGACGGUAGUGGGAGAAAAAUCACCGGCUAACUACGUGCCAGCAGCCGCGGUAAUACG